AUGUGUAUACCUACCCCAGAAAUGAGUUUUUGACCAAAUUGUGGAAGGAUAAGCUGGGCUUGCAAUGCCAUGCAUAAUCCUUGCAACGGCUCUAGGAGUGAAUUUAGCCUGUGAGUUGCUCUGCAGAAAGACUUUUAUAUCUGCUCGGAGGAAUGGGCUGCUCUGGUUCAUUUUAUUUGGAGUAUCAUAAGUAUCACCCUCCUGGAAAUAAGAACAAAUCUUUCCUUCUAAGCAUGGUGUCUGCUCGGAGGUACAGAAGCCCUGAGACUUUCCACACAAAUUUAU
RNAcentral lists this unclassified non-coding RNA (285 nucleotides) under Hevea brasiliensis (rubber tree). The record is from RNAcentral. Lineage: Eukaryota; Viridiplantae; Streptophyta; Magnoliopsida; Malpighiales; Euphorbiaceae.